UACGUAGGGUGCGAGCGUUGUCCGGAAUUAUUGGGCGUAAAGGGCUCGUAGGCGGUUUGUCGCGUCGGGAGUGAAAACACCGGGCUUAACUCGGUGCUUGCUUUCGAUACGGGCAGACUAGAGGCAUGCAGGGGAGAACGGAAUUCCUGGUGUAGCGGUGAAAUGCGCAGAUAUCAGGAAGAACACCCGUGGCGAAGGCGGCUCUCUGGGACGGUACUGACGCUGAGACGCGAAAGCGUGGGGAGCGAACAGG
RNAcentral lists this ribosomal RNA (253 nucleotides) under uncultured bacterium. RNAcentral's name for it is "partial 16S ribosomal RNA". It matches the Rfam family "Bacterial small subunit ribosomal RNA", at positions 524 to 776 of the family's 1533-position model. The record is from RNAcentral.